Molecule: non-coding RNA, 313 nt
Organism: Maylandia zebra (zebra mbuna)
Lineage: Eukaryota; Metazoa; Chordata; Actinopteri; Cichliformes; Cichlidae
Source: RefSeq, a predicted model, not a curated record
UGAAUGCUACAUCCGUCCUGCGACGGUACACCGCCUCCGCACCACCGUUUAAACAUGAAGUGUGGAUGUUAGAAGAUCCCAAAUAUGGAAAUAGUCAGGACCCAGAUGAACCUGUGCUGGAAUUCAGUGUGGGGUGGUGGGUCUCAGAGGACAAUUGCUACCCCUGUUGAAGUGAACAACGUGUGGAGUGCAACUGGCUUUGUGGCAUAGCUGGCUCUGGCCUUGGACUGUGUGUUUUUACUUUGUACCUAAAUGGGACACUGGACUUCUAACUACUAUUCAUUGUGUUUAUAAAUAAAAUUUUAGAAUUUUA